AUUGAACGCUGGCGGCAUGCUUUACACAUGCAAGUCGAACGGUAACAGGCCGCAAGGUGCUGACGAGUGGCGAACGGGUGAGUAAUGCAUCGGAACGUGCCCAGUCGUGGGGGAUAACUAUCCGAAAGGAUAGCUAAUACCGCAUACGAUCUGCGGAUGAAAGCGGGGGACCUUCGGGCCUCGCGCGAUUGGAGCGGCCGAUGUCAGAUUAGGUAGUUGGUGGGGUAAAGGCUCACCAAGCCAACGAUCUGUAGCUGGUCUGAGAGGACGACCAGCCACACUGGGACGGAGACACGGCCCAGACUACUACGGGAGGCAGCAGUGGGGAAUUUUGGACAAUGGGCGCAAGCCUGAUCCAGCAAUGCCGCGUGCAGGAAGAAGGCCUUCGGGUUGUAAACUGCUUUUGUACGGAACGAAACGGCUCUGGUUAAUACCUGGGGCUAAUGACGGUACCGUAAGAAUAAGCACCGGCUAACUACGUGCCAGCCGCCGCAGUAA
Molecule: ribosomal RNA, 498 nt
Filed under: uncultured bacterium
Lineage: Bacteria
Description: partial 16S ribosomal RNA
Rfam family: Bacterial small subunit ribosomal RNA
Source: RNAcentral